CUCUUGUUCUGCUGCCUCCAAUCUAGAGGAGACAGGGAACUCCUGUACAACUCCCUUGGCUCCUCUCUGUCAGAAAUGUGUUUACUUCUGCUUACUUCUCCCAUUCUUCUCAGUUGUUCUCUUUUAAUAGUGCAGCAUCCCCUUUAAUCAUGGAUUUGAUCUUGGAAGAACUAAAUCUUAUGUAUCUAAAAAGAGCUGAGUGAGGUGAUGUCCCUUGUCACAAUACUCACUUGCAUUUGCAAGAGCAAUAAACACAGUAUUUAAAAUAUUCUCGGGUAUGAAUGUACAUCAUAUCUUCUGUUUCACAGUUAUUUCUUAUACUUGUGCUAUUACUUCAUACUUACUGCAAAGUAACUCACUCCUCUUUUGUGAACUUUAGGGCGAUGCUUCGCGUAUGUACUGUCUAUACGUGAAAUCGGCCUCUCUCUGCUGUUGGCUUCUGUGAUCAUUUCCAUGUAAUAUAUUUUGAUUAUCUGAUCCAAAUCUCUUAGGUGAAAAGCCAUCAAUAGUUCUUCAAGUCAAGCAUUUUUUCUCCCUUAGUUCUAUCACCAGUGUGCUUCCUUGGAAAAGUUUUGUGUGUAUUUUGCAUAGCCAGCAUGCUUUAACUGUCUUGUCUCUCUCCUAAAUGGAAGCGUGCUGUAUCCUUACAUUGCCUUAUAGGCCUCAAGUCAGCCCUGGAGUUCUGCAGCGUUGUUUGAAUUGGUCCUGCCUCUGGCAUACCUUGUCUCCAGGAUACACUGUACACAUUCUUUGCCCAGCUUCAAAUGUCUUCACCGAAUGGGUGUCUCAUGGCACCUUUCCAUAUGGCUUGCACUAACACAUAUUUCUCAUAAGAGUUGCUGCUCCUAUAUUUUUGCUGCAUGGCCACCAAAAAUAACAAGGUAUUUGGAAAAAUAUGCACGAUUCAUGACAAUCUCCUCUUUAAGGUUUCAAAAGACGUUAAUUACUUACGUUUACAUAUUCUUGAGGAUUCCUUUUGUCCAGUUCCAGGAAAGUCCAGCAGUCAUUCUUACUGCUUGCUCCAGCAUGAAGUAGGGAAAGGGGCUGAUUGCAGCCUUCCAGGAGGAGCCAGAAGGUCCUCUCCUCAUUCUCCUUCAACACCUGGCAUUGUGCCCCCCUCCACAAACAUUUCUCUAGGAAUGUCUUAAAACCACUCUGCUUUCAAACCUGGCCUGGGGAGAUAUUCACAGAAACAAGUUCCUUCUGAAACUGAAGAAUCACCAAUACCAAGAAUAUCUGACUCAGAACACUCAAAACAAAUUGUUGCUGAAGAGCUUUUUGCAUUUUUCAUUAGUUGAUGAACACUGAGGAGCAUGAUCACAGCUGUUCUUCCCCCUUUUAUGAGCUGUCGUAGAAACUGAUGCAUAAUAAAAAUCAUUGUACAUAAACA
This 1390-nucleotide long non-coding RNA is filed under the name Numida meleagris (helmeted guineafowl). RNAcentral's name for it is "lncRNA (ENSNMEG00000006089.1)". The record is from RNAcentral. Lineage: Eukaryota; Metazoa; Chordata; Aves; Galliformes; Numididae.